UCAGAGUUGCAAACUCCCUACAACCCUUGUGAACAUACCUAACAUGUUGCUUCGGCGGCAGGGGUCCCCGGGACCCCCCCCCCCCCAGGGACGUGCCCGCCGGAGGACCACUAACUCUAGUUUUUAGCGACUGUUCCUCUCUGAGUGUCACUAAGCUAAUAAGUA
RNAcentral lists this unclassified non-coding RNA (165 nucleotides) under soil metagenome. RNAcentral describes it as "partial internal transcribed spacer 1". The record is from RNAcentral.